CANACCUCUAAUCGGAAAAGACUACCCGCUGAGUUUAAGCAUAUCAAUAAGCGGAGGAA
Molecule: ribosomal RNA, 59 nt
Filed under: Straminergon stramineum
Lineage: Eukaryota; Viridiplantae; Streptophyta; Bryopsida; Hypnales; Calliergonaceae
Description: partial 25S ribosomal RNA
Rfam family: Eukaryotic large subunit ribosomal RNA
Source: RNAcentral